GCAGGUGGCACAGCGGUUAAUGCUUUCAUCUCCCAAUCAAAGGUCUUGGGUUCAAAUCCCACCUCCA
RNAcentral lists this transfer RNA (67 nucleotides) under Scleropages formosus (Asian bonytongue). Its description in RNAcentral is "tRNA-Gly". Lineage: Eukaryota; Metazoa; Chordata; Actinopteri; Osteoglossiformes; Osteoglossidae. The record is from RNAcentral.